RNAcentral lists this ribosomal RNA (870 nucleotides) under uncultured Nostocales cyanobacterium. Its description in RNAcentral is "bacterial SSU rRNA". It matches the Rfam family "Bacterial small subunit ribosomal RNA", at positions 8 to 919 of the family's 1533-position model. The record is from RNAcentral. Lineage: Bacteria; Bacillati; Cyanobacteriota; Cyanophyceae; Nostocales.
AGAGUUUGAUUAUGGCUCAGGAUGAACGCUGGCGGUAUGCUUAACACAUGCAAGUCGAACGGAACCCUUAGGGGUUUAGUGGCGGACGGGUGAGUAACGCGUGAGAAUCGGCCCUCGGGUUGGGGACAACCAUUGGAAACGGUGGCUAAUACCGAAUAAGCCGAAAGGUGAAAGAUUANUCGCCUGGGGAAGAGCUCGCGUCUGAUUAGCUAGUUGGUGGGGUAAAGGCCUACCAAGGCACCGAUCAGUAACUGGUCUGAGAGGAUGGCCAGUCACACUGGGACUGAGACACGGCCCAGACUCCUACGGGAGGCAGCAGUGGGGAAUUUUCCGCAAUGGGCGAAAGCCUGACGGAGCAAUACCGCGUGGGGGAGGAAGGCUCUUGGGUCGUAAACCUCUUUUCUCAGGGAAGAACACAAUGACGGUACCUGAGGAAUCAGCAUCGGCUAACUCCGUGCCAGCAGCCGCGGUAAUACGGAGGAUGCAAGCGUUAUCCGGAAUGAUUGGGCGUAAAGCGUCCGCAGGUGGCAGUGUAAGUCUGCUGUCAAAGGUCAGGGCUCAACCCUGAACAGGCAGUGGAAACUACACAGCUAGAGUGCGGUGGGGGCAGAGGGAAUUCCCAGUGUAGCGGUGAAAUGCGUAGAGAUUGGGAAGAACACCGGUGGCGAAAGCGCUCUGCUAGGCCGUAACUGACACUCAUGGACGAAAGCUAGGGGAGCGAACGGGAUUAGAUACCCCAGUAGUCCUAGCCGUAAACGAUGGAUACUAGGCGUAGCUCGUAUCGACCCGAGCUGUGCCGUAGCUAACGCGUUAAGUAUCCCGCCUGGGGAGUACGCUCGCAAGAGUGAAACUCAAAUGAAUUGACGGGGG